RNAcentral lists this ribosomal RNA (421 nucleotides) under Pseudomonas aeruginosa. Its description in RNAcentral is "partial 23S ribosomal RNA". It matches the Rfam family "Bacterial large subunit ribosomal RNA", at positions 882 to 1299 of the family's 2925-position model. Lineage: Bacteria; Pseudomonadati; Pseudomonadota; Gammaproteobacteria; Pseudomonadales; Pseudomonadaceae. The record is from RNAcentral.
UCGUGAACUCAUCUUCGGGGGUAGAGCACUGUUUCGGCUAGGGGGUCAUCCCGACUUACCAACCCGAUGCAAACUACGAAUACCGAAGAAUGUUAUCACGGGAGACACACGGCGGGUGCUAACGUCCGUCGUGAAGAGGGAAACAACCCAGACCGCCAGCUAAGGUCCCAAAGUCAUGGUUAAGUGGGAAACGAUGUGGGAAGGCACAGACAGCCAGGAUGUUGGCUUAGAAGCAGCCAUCAUUUAAAGAAAGCGUAAUAGCUCACUGGUCGAGUCGGCCUGCGCGGAAGAUGUAACGGGGCUAAACCAUGCACCGAAGCUGCGGCAGCGACACUAUGUGUUGUUGGGUAGGGGAGCGUUCUGUAAGCCUGCGAAGGUGUGCUGUGAGGCAUGCUGGAGGUAUCAGAAGUGCGAAUGCUGA